Molecule: long non-coding RNA, 944 nt
Organism: Patiria miniata (bat star)
Lineage: Eukaryota; Metazoa; Echinodermata; Asteroidea; Valvatida; Asterinidae
Exons: 8
Source: RefSeq, a predicted model, not a curated record
AGUUUUGUUGUGCAGAGAAAAUAUAGCGGGACCCCAGACAUCGCACGUGUACACGCGCGUCCGUGUGGCCACGUGGUAGUAGGUCAAGGACAUAGGCCCCUAUACACUCUGCAGCAGCACAUUCAAUAUCGUAGUACGCAUUUAUAAAUAAGUGUGUUGUGCUGAUGAUGAUCAUGAUGGAGCCCGUAAAUGAAGAUCAACAAGUUGAUGAAAUCUUAACUCGAUUUUGGGAAGAUGGCAUGAGGGCAUAUGGAACUUCAGAGCGAGCGAGAGUUCAAAAAGCAAGUAAAGAGACCGGUGUGUCUGUGACCUAUGUGAAGAGAUAAUAGGCGCUGAAGACAUUUCGAUCUUGAGAGAACAGGUGCAGUCGAUAUUUAACGCCAAAUAUAAGAAGCAACAGGGCAAAAGAAAAUGACAUACAAACGCCUGUCGGAAAUUAACGUUGUGGGUCUGCCGGAAGAUAUGGUGUUAAAGCGGCCUUCUGCUUAUGGGAAAAAGAGCCUCAAGAGGAUCAUUCAAGCGAAAGAUAAGAUUCAGUUCUUUCAUCCUGAACAUGCAGAACGCCACUUUCCAGCAGUAUUUAUAGACCCACUAGCUCCUGUAGCCCCUGUGGCCCCUGUGGAUGUUGUCGUCAAACAAGAAGUGCCACAUCCUGGAAUGCCAAGAAUCACCACUUUCCAGCAGUAUUUAUAGACCCACUAGCUCCUGUAGCCCCUGUGGCCCCUGUGGAUGUUGUCGUCAAACAAGAAGUGCCACAUCCUGGAAUGCCAAGAAUCAAAAACUCUGCAAGGGAUCUUGAUCAGUCUCAAAAUACUGGGCAGGAUUUUGCCGUGGAAACGACACACAAAGACCAAAAGCCAGAUCACAACUUGGUUGUUGCGGAAGCGAACCACUGCAAUCUCAUCUUGACGGGCAGCGAUGGCUUGACAAUCACUCCAAUCUUU